GAAGAAGGUCUUCGGAUUGUAAAGCUCUGUUGCCGGGGAAAAAGGAAGGAAAGAGGAAAUGGCUUUUCUUUGGAUGGUACCCGGCCAGAAAGUCACGGCUAACUACGUGCC
RNAcentral lists this ribosomal RNA (111 nucleotides) under uncultured bacterium. Its description in RNAcentral is "partial 16S ribosomal RNA". It matches the Rfam family "Bacterial small subunit ribosomal RNA", at positions 407 to 509 of the family's 1533-position model. The record is from RNAcentral.